This is a long non-coding RNA of Limanda limanda (common dab), 1215 nucleotides long. RefSeq lists it as uncharacterized. Lineage: Eukaryota; Metazoa; Chordata; Actinopteri; Pleuronectiformes; Pleuronectidae. The transcript has 6 exons. The record is from RefSeq and is a predicted model, not a curated record.
UCUUCACGGCUGUAUUGGUGUUUCAGGUGGAAUGUCACGUCCUACCCGGUGCUGAGCAGCAGGUACGUGGCAGUGAGAGAGAGGAAUAUGCUGAGGAGUCGAUGGAAGAGACGAGUAGAGCUCAACAAUGGAACCAGUAUAGACGAGCCUGAGAAGAGAGAGGGAAUUCGAAGGUGUCAAGUUGGGAUGAAUCUCAUGUCCUCAUGUUGCGCUCGCUCACGCCCACCUACCUAGCGUGGUCCAGCUGAUGAUCUGAUUGAGAAGCGGCAGGCCCUGCUUCUGCUGCAGGCUGGAGUGUGUGAGGGACGGCACGUAGGCGCACACUGCCACAUGGAGCAUCUGUGGAGUUUUGUCAGGAGCCAUAAUCUUUGACAUGGUUACCUUGGCCUUCCCGAAAAGUCCCGACAUGAAGGGCCAGAUAGAGAGGACAGCCAGGCCCACAGUCAGCAUGGCGCGAUGGAAGAAGCUCACCACCUGGGGGCAGCAAAGGUGGUGACGACUGUCGCUGCAGUGGCGAGACCGGCAGGUGUGGUGCUGACUGUUUACCAAAUUGUGUUUCCCAUUGCUGAAUCCGCAAUGUUUAAGCUACAUUGCACCUUGUAGGUAUCCAUCGUCAUACAGUUGGGGUUCAGUGACUCUACGAGCCCUUUGGACUCCAGCUCCCCACACCACUAGCGGAGUGAGCGUCUCAGAGGGAUGCCCUGCACCGUGAGAGCCUGCAACAAAACACACAAAUUUUGUCAUGCCAUGAUCAGAGGUGAACACGUAGGCUGUUCUGCCAUCAUAACCAAAGAAUUCCUCCACUAUGGACACCAGCUCAGCCACACCAGUGUCAACUAAACCAAUGUUGUCCAGGUACUCCCUGAAGACACAGUAUACAUGUAAAUACACAAGAGAUAUCCGACCUGACUGCUGAAUUAAAUGCUGCUUAGAAGGAAUAUGUUAUUAAAUUUGUUUAAAUGUAGAGUGCAAUCAAAUUGAAUAUGAACUGCAACAAGGAAUCUGAAAAAAACGUGUCACAUACGGUGACAUUGGUCUGUGAGCGUGGCCGUUUGUGUCGAUGCCGAGCAGAUGCAGGAAGAAGACGUUCUUAUCCUCCAGCAAAUUGUCCCUCAGACUGGAGUUAGACUUUGCCGUCUGAAAGAACGACUGUAGGAAGAAAGACAAAUAAAUCGGAUUUAUUCAAGAGAGCGAUGAGGAAAUCCCCACUACAGA